CCUACGGGUGGCAGCAGUGAGGAAUAUUGGUCAAUGGACGCAAGUCUGAACCAGCCAUGCCGCGUGCAUGAUGACGGCCCUAUGAUUUGUAAACUGCUUUUUUACGAGGGUAAAUGCAGAUACGUGUAUCUGUCUGUAUUUACCGUACGAAUAAGGAUCGGCUAACUUCGUGCCAUCAGCCGCGGUAAUAUGGAGGAUUCAAGCGUUAUCCGGAUUUAUUGGGUUUAAAGGGUGCGUAGGCGGUUGGAUAAGUUAGAUGUGAAAUCCCGAGGCUCAACUGUGGAAUUGCAUGUAAUACUGUAGAUCUAGAGAGCAGAUGAGGUAGGCGGAAUGCAUGGUGUAGCGGUGAAAUGCUUAGAGAUAAUGAAGAACACCGAUUGCGAAGGCAGCUUACCAGUCUGUAUCUGACGUUGAGGCGCGAAAGCGUGGGGAGCAAACAGGAUUAGAUACCCCAGUAGUC
This 460-nucleotide ribosomal RNA is filed under the name uncultured bacterium. RNAcentral's name for it is "partial 16S ribosomal RNA". It matches the Rfam family "Bacterial small subunit ribosomal RNA", at positions 338 to 795 of the family's 1533-position model. The record is from RNAcentral.